GAUGAAGAACGUAGCGAAAUGCGAUACUUGGUGUGAAUUGCAGAAUCCCGUGAACCAUCGAGUCUUUGAACGCAAGUUGCGCCCGAAGCCACUAGGCCGAGGGCACGCCUGCCUGGGCGUCACACGCCGUUGCCCCCCCAUCUACUCCUUCGGGAUUGCGGGGGGGCGGAUGAUGGCCUCCCGUGCGCCUAGCCGCGCGGUUGGCAUAAAUACCAAGUCCUCGGCGCCGCACGCCACGACAAUCGGUGGUUGCGAAACCUCGGUUGCCCGUCGUGUGCGUUCGUCGCGCAUCGAGGGCUCGAAAAAAUGCUCGGCUCCGGCUGGGCUUUCAACGCGACCCCAGGUCAGGCGGGGUUACCCGCUGAAUUUAAGCAUAUCAAUAAGCGGAGGA
RNAcentral lists this unclassified non-coding RNA (391 nucleotides) under soil metagenome. Its description in RNAcentral is "partial contains 5.8S ribosomal RNA, internal transcribed spacer 2, and large subunit ribosomal RNA". The stretch from base 1 to 122 matches the Rfam family "5.8S ribosomal RNA", at positions 35 to 154 of the family's 154-position model. The record is from RNAcentral.